Molecule: non-coding RNA, 27 nt
Filed under: Rattus norvegicus (Norway rat)
Lineage: Eukaryota; Metazoa; Chordata; Mammalia; Rodentia; Muridae
Source: RNAcentral
UGGUGUCGAUUAGAACCAAUCUUGUGG